Molecule: transfer RNA, 62 nt
Filed under: Krisna expansiva
Lineage: Eukaryota; Metazoa; Arthropoda; Insecta; Hemiptera; Cicadellidae
Description: tRNA-Asp
Source: RNAcentral
AAGAGUCUAGUUUAAUUUAAAAUAUUAAUUUGUCAAAUUAAAGAUAUUUGAUAUGAUUUUUU